UACGUAGGGUGCAAGCGUUGUCCGGAAUUAUUGGGCGUAAAGAGCUCGUAGGCGGUCUGUCGCGUCUGCUGUGAAAACUCGGGGCUCAACCCCGAAACUGCACUUGAUACUGCCUUGCUAGAGUACUGGAGAGGAGAUUGGAAUUUACGGUGUAGCAGUGAAAUGCGUAGAUAUCGUAAGGAAGACCAGUGGCGAAGGCGAAUCUCUGGACAGUUACUGACACUGAGGCACGAAGGCCAGGGGAGCAAACGGG
This 253-nucleotide ribosomal RNA is filed under the name uncultured bacterium. RNAcentral describes it as "partial 16S ribosomal RNA". It matches the Rfam family "Bacterial small subunit ribosomal RNA", at positions 524 to 776 of the family's 1533-position model. The record is from RNAcentral.